Small nuclear RNA from Perca fluviatilis (European perch), 163 nucleotides. RefSeq annotates it as U1 spliceosomal RNA. Lineage: Eukaryota; Metazoa; Chordata; Actinopteri; Perciformes; Percidae. The transcript has a single exon. The record is from RefSeq and is a predicted model, not a curated record.
AAUUUUACCUGGCAGGAUGGCCAUUACAUCAAGAAGGUGGUUCACCCGCUACGCAGGCUUAACCAUUGUUCUCGGUUAUAAAGUUGACCUCGCGCUAAAUUCCCGUCGUGGAAUCUCUCGACUGCAUAAUUUGUGUGGUGGGGACUGCGUCACAAUACCCCUG